This 496-nucleotide ribosomal RNA is filed under the name uncultured bacterium. Its description in RNAcentral is "partial 16S ribosomal RNA". It matches the Rfam family "Bacterial small subunit ribosomal RNA", at positions 28 to 506 of the family's 1533-position model. The record is from RNAcentral.
GAUGAACGCUGGCGGCGUGCCUAAUACAUGCAAGUCGAGCGAACAGACGAGGAGCUUGCUCCUCUGACGUUAGCGGCGGACGGGUGAGUAACACGUGGAUAACCUACCUAUAAGACUGGGAUAACUUCGGGAAACCGGAGCUAAUACCGGAUAAUAUAUUGAACCGCAUGGUUCAAUAGUGAAAGACGGUUUUGCUGUCACUUAUAGAUGGAUCCGCGCCGCAUUAGCUAGUUGGUAAGGUAACGGCUUACCAAGGCGACGAUGCGUAGCCGACCUGAGAGGGGGCUCGGCCCCACUGGAACUGAGACACGGGCCAGACCCCUACGGGGGGCAGCAGUAGGGAAUUUUCCGCAAUGGGCGAAAGCCUGACGGAGCAACGCCGGGUGAGUGAUGAAGGUUUUCGGAUCGUAAAACUUUGUUAUUAGGGAAAAAAAAAUUUGUAAGUAACUAUGCACGUUUUGACGGUACCAAACCAGAAAGCCCCGGCAAACUACGU